AGUGAACGCUGGCGAUAGGCCUAACACAUGCAAGUCGAACGGCAGCACAGUAAGAGCUUGCUCUUACGGGUGGCGAGUGGCGGACGGGUGAGGAAUACAUCGGAAUCUACUUUUUCGUGGGGGAUAACGUAGGGAAACUUACGCUAAUACCGCAUACGACCUACGGGUGAAAGCAGGGGAUCUUCGGACCUUGCGCGAUUGAAUGAGCCGAUGUCGGAUUAGCUAGUUGGCGGGGUAAAGGCCCACCAAGGCGACGAUCCGUAGCUGGUCUGAGAGGAUGAUCAGCCACACUGGAACUGAGACACGGUCCAGACUCCUGCGGGAGGCAGCAGUGGGGAAUAUUGGACAAUGGGCGCAAGCCUGAUCCAGCCAUACCGCGUGGGUGAAGAAGGCCUUCGGGUUGUAAAGCCCUUUUGUUGGGAAAGAAAAGCAGCAGGUUAAUACCCCGCUGUUCUGACGGUACCCAAAGAAUAAGCACCGGCUAACUUCGUG
RNAcentral lists this ribosomal RNA (492 nucleotides) under uncultured bacterium. RNAcentral describes it as "partial 16S ribosomal RNA". It matches the Rfam family "Bacterial small subunit ribosomal RNA", at positions 29 to 507 of the family's 1533-position model. The record is from RNAcentral.